GGAUAAUCUACCCUUAGGACCGGGAUAACCUUGGGAAACUGAGGAUAAUACUGGAUAGGCAAUUAUUCCUGUAAUGGUUUUUUGUUUAAAUGUUUUUUCGCCUAAGGAUGAGUCUGCGGCCGAUUAGGUAGUUGGUUAGGUAAUGGCUUACCAAGCCGUUGAUCGGUACGGGUUGUGAGAGCAAGAGCCCGGAGAUGGAACCUGAGACAAGGUUCCAGGCCCUACGGGGUGCAGCAGGCGCGAAACCUCCGCAAUGUGAGAAAUCGCGACGGGGGGAUCCCAAGUGCCAUUCUUAACGGGAUGGCUUUUCAUUAGUGUAAAGAGCUUUUGGAAUAAGAGCUGGGCAAGACCGGUGCCAGCCGCCGCGGUAACACCGGCAGCUCUAGUGGUAACAAUUUUUAUUGGGCCUAAAGCGUCCGUAGCCGGUUUAAUAAGUCUCUGGUGAAAUCCUGUAGCUUAACUGUGGGAAUUGCUGGAGAUACUAUUAGACUUGAGACCGGGAGAGGUUAGAGGUACUCCCAGGGUAGAGGUGAAAUUCUGUAAUCCUGGGAGGACCGCCUGUUGCGAAGGCGUCUAACUGGAACGGUUCUGACGGUGAGGGACGAAAGUUAGGGGCGCGAACCGGAUUAGAUACCCGGGUAGUCCUAACUGUAAACGAUGCGGACUUGGUGUUGGGGUGGCUUUGAGCU
Molecule: ribosomal RNA, 689 nt
Filed under: uncultured archaeon
Lineage: Archaea
Description: bacterial SSU rRNA
Rfam family: Archaeal small subunit ribosomal RNA
Source: RNAcentral